Molecule: non-coding RNA, 45 nt
Organism: Schistosoma mattheei
Lineage: Eukaryota; Metazoa; Platyhelminthes; Trematoda; Strigeidida; Schistosomatidae
Source: Rfam
AUCCAGCUGAAGAGUCCCGACUAGGAUGAAACGCGCUUCCUGGAU